Molecule: ribosomal RNA, 254 nt
Filed under: uncultured bacterium
Lineage: Bacteria
Description: partial 16S ribosomal RNA
Rfam family: Bacterial small subunit ribosomal RNA
Source: RNAcentral
UACGGGGGGGGCAAGCGUUGUUCGGAAUUACUGGGCGUAAAGGGUGCGUAGGCGGCCAACUAAGUCAGACGUGAAAUCCCUCGGCUUAACCGGGGAACUGCGUCUGAUACUGGAUGGCUUGAAUCCGGGAGAGGGAUGCGGAAUUCCAGGUGUAGCGGUGAAAUGCGUAGAUAUCUGGAGGAACACCGGUGGCGAAGGCGACAUCCUGGACCGGUAUUGACGCUGAGUGAGCGAAAGCCAGGGGAGCAAACGGG